Molecule: ribosomal RNA, 490 nt
Filed under: uncultured bacterium
Lineage: Bacteria
Description: partial 16S ribosomal RNA
Rfam family: Bacterial small subunit ribosomal RNA
Source: RNAcentral
GAUGAACGCUAGCUACAGGUUUAACACAUGCAAGUCGAGGGGCAGCAUGGUCUUAGCUUGCUAAGGCCGAUGGCGGCCGGCGCACGGGUGAGUAACACGUAUCCAACCUGCCGUCUACUCUUGGACAGCCUUCUGAAAGGAAGAUUAAUACAAGAUGGCAUCAUGAGUUCACAUGUUCACAUGAUUAAAGGUAUUCCGGUAGACGAUGGGGAUGCGUUCCAUUAGAUAGUAGGCGGGGUAACGGCCCACCUAGUCUUCGAUGGAUAGGGGUUCUGAGAGGAAGGUCCCCCACAUUGGAACUGAGACACGGUCCAAACUCCUACGGGAGGCAGCAGUGAGGAAUAUUGGUCAAUGGGCGAGAGCCUGAACCAGCCAAGUAGCGUGAAGGAUGACUGCCCUAUGGGUUGUAAACUUCUUUUAUAAAGGAAUAAAGUCGGGUAUGUAUACCCGUUUGCAUGUACUUUAUGAAUAAGGAUCGGCUAACUCCGUG